UGAGGAAUUUUCUGCAAUGGGCGAAAGCCUGACAGAGCAAUACCGCGUGAGGGAUGAAGGCUUACUGAGUUGUAAACCUCUUUUUUCAAGGAAGAAGAUCUGACGUUACUUGAAGAAUAAGCAUCGGCUAACUCCGUGCCAGCAGCCGCGGUAAGACGGAGGAUGCAAGUGUUAUCCGGAAUCACUGGGCGUAAAGCGUCUGCAGGUGGUUUUUUAAGUCUACUGUUAAAACUUGAGGCUUAACCUCAAAGCAGCAGUGGAAACUAGAAGACUAGAGUAUAGUAGGGGUAGAGGGAAUUUCCAGUGGAGCGGUGAAAUGCGUAGAUAUUGGAAAGAACACCGAUGGCGAAGGCACUCUACUGGGCUAUUACUGACACUCAGAGACGAAAGCUAGGGGAGC
This 400-nucleotide ribosomal RNA is filed under the name uncultured bacterium. Its description in RNAcentral is "bacterial SSU rRNA". It matches the Rfam family "Bacterial small subunit ribosomal RNA", at positions 355 to 769 of the family's 1533-position model. The record is from RNAcentral.